CUGCCCUACACAGAGCCAUGAGACCCCAGAUCCUGCUGCUCCUGGCCCUGCUGACCCUAGGCCUGGCUGCACAACGCCAAGACAAAGUGCCCUGUAAGAUGGUAGAAAGCCUCACCUAGAUGACCCCCUAUCCCUCAUACCAUGGAGUCAUGAGCUGUCUGGGAAGAAUGGACGUGCUGGGACCAACUCAAGACCUUGUUUUGCUGUCUUCAUCAUCUUACCUGUGCUUGGCCCACAGUCUAGCUCAUGGUGUGGGCUCAGUAAUGUGCGAGAAAAUGAAAAUGCCACUUUCUCUCUCCAUCCCAUUUUACAGAGGAGAACACCAAGGCCCAGAGGAAGUUAAGGGAGAAUCAAUGGGCAGAGCCAGGGCUAGGCCCUGGUGAUGUGUGGAACACCCAGGCAGACCCAGUCCUGGUUGGGAUCACAACCACAGGUGCUACUGCACAUAACACUCUUCCUUAGGCCUGGAGGCCAAGGUGUGGGUCCCCACGCCUGAUCUUUGAAAACACUACACAAUGCUGCUGUCACUUCUCAGGACCCAGGCCGCAGCCCAGGCCUCGGGACCAACUCU
This 571-nucleotide small RNA is filed under the name Pongo abelii (Sumatran orangutan). Its description in RNAcentral is "processed transcript". Lineage: Eukaryota; Metazoa; Chordata; Mammalia; Primates; Hominidae. The record is from RNAcentral.